Small nucleolar RNA from Tachyglossus aculeatus (Australian echidna), 138 nucleotides. The record is from RefSeq and is a predicted model, not a curated record. NCBI's taxonomy places the organism in Eukaryota, Metazoa, Chordata, Mammalia, Monotremata, Tachyglossidae.
CCUCUCGCAGGGUCGCACCUGAAGAGUUUCCAGGACUCUAUCAGUCUCAGCUAUUGGAGGGAGAGGCAAACAGAGGCAUAUCCAUUCCAUUACUAGGCUGGCCAGUGGCUAGUGAGUGGAAGGCACUCUGCUACAAGU